CCCGACAAAGCCAAACCUGCCCCGAGGCAGGGACGGAAAGCCACGGGUCUCCAUGAUUGGAAGAUGGCCGAGCUGCCGAAG
This 81-nucleotide non-coding RNA is filed under the name Desulfuromonadaceae bacterium. Its description in RNAcentral is "c-di-GMP sequence". It matches the Rfam family "c-di-GMP-I-GGC riboswitch aptamer". The record is from RNAcentral. Lineage: Bacteria; Pseudomonadati; Thermodesulfobacteriota; Desulfuromonadia; Desulfuromonadales; Desulfuromonadaceae.